AGGGCGCACGGUGGAUGCCUUGGCACUAGAAGCCGAUGAAGGACGUUACUAACGACGAUAUGCUUUGGGGAGCUGUAAGUAAGCUUUGAUCCAGAGAUUUCCGAAUGGGGAAACCCAGCAUGAGUUAUGUCAUGUUAUCGAUAUGUGAAUACAUAGCAUAUCAGAAGGCACACCCGGAGAACUGAAACAUCUUAGUACCCGGAGGAAGAGAAAGAAAAUUCGAUUCCCUUAGUAGCGGCGAGCGAAACGGGAAGAGCCCAAACCAACAAGCUUGCUUGUUGGGGUUGUAGGACACUCUAUACGGAGUUACAAAGGACGACAUUAGACGAAUCAUCUGGAAAGAUGAAUCAAAGAAGGUAAUAAUCCUGUAGUCGAAAAUGUUGUCUCUCUUGAGUGGAUCCUGAGUACGACGGAGCACGUGAAAUUCCGUCGGAAUCUGGGAGGACCAUCUCCUAAGGCUAAAUACUCUCUAGUGACCGAUAGUGAACCAGUACCGUGAGGGAAAGGUGAAAAGCACCCCGGAAGGGGAGUGAAAUAGAACCUGAAACCGUGUGCUUACAAGUAGUCAGAGCCCGUUAAUGGGUGAUGGCGUGCCUUUUGUAGAAUGAACCGGCGAGUUACGAUUUGAUGCAAGGUUAAGCAGUAAAUGUGGAGCCGUAGCGAAAGCGAGUCUGAAUAGGGCGUUUAGUAUUUGGUCGUAGACCCGAAACCAGGUGAUCUACCCUUGGUCAGGUUGAAGUUCAGGUAACACUGAAUGGAGGACCGAACCGACUUACGUUGAAAAGUGAGCGGAUGAACUGAGGGUAGCGGAGAAAUUCCAAUCGAACCUGGAGAUAGCUGGUUCUCUCCGAAAUAGCUUUAGGGCUAGCCUCAAGUGAUGAUUAUUGGAGGUAGAGCACUGUUUGGACGAGGGGCCCCUCUCGGGUUACCGAAUUCAGACAAACUCCGAAUGCCAAUUAAUUUAACUUGGGAGUCAGAACAUGGGUGAUAAGGUCCGUGUUCGAAAGGGAAACAGCCCAGACCACCAGCUAAGGUCCCAAAAUAUAUGUUAAGUGGAAAAGGAUGUGGCGUUGCCCAGACAACUAGGAUGUUGGCUUAGAAGCAGCCAUCAUUUAAAGAGUGCGUAAUAGCUCACUAGUCGAGUGACACUGCGCCGAAAAUGUACCGGGGCUAAACAUAUUACCGAAGCUGUGGAUUGUCCUUUGGACAAUGGUAGGAGAGCGUUCUAAGGGCGUUGAAGCAUGAUCGUAAGGACAUGUGGAGCGCUUAGAAGUGAGAAUGCCGGUGUGAGUAGCGAAAGACGGGUGAGAAUCCCGUCCACCGAUUGACUAAGGUUUCCAGAGGAAGGCUCGUCCGCUCUGGGUUAGUCGGGUCCUAAGCUGAGGCCGACAGGCGUAGGCGAUGGAUAACAGGUUGAUAUUCCUGUACCACCUAUAAUCGUUUUAAUCGAUGGGGGGACGCAGUAGGAUAGGCGAAGCGUGCGAUUGGAUUGCACGUCUAAGCAGUAAGGCUGAGUAUUAGGCAAAUCCGGUACUCAUUAAGGCUGAGCUGUGAUGGGGAGAAGACAUUGUGUCUUCGAGUCGUUGAUUUCACACUGCCGAGAAAAGCCUCUAGAUAGAAAAUAGGUGCCCGUACCGCAAACCGACACAGGUAGUCAAGAUGAGAAUUCUAAGGUGAGCGAGCGAACUCUCGUUAAGGAACUCGGCAAAAUGACCCCGUAACUUCGGGAGAAGGGGUGCUCUUUAGGGUUAACGCCCAGAAGAGCCGCAGUGAAUAGGCCCAAGCGACUGUUUAUCAAAAACACAGGUCUCUGCUAAACCGUAAGGUGAUGUAUAGGGGCUGACGCCUGCCCGGUGCUGGAAGGUUAAGAGGAGUGGUUAGCUUCUGCGAAGCUACGAAUCGAAGCCCCAGUAAACGGCGGCCGUAACUAUAACGGUCCUAAGGUAGCGAAAUUCCUUGUCGGGUAAGUUCCGACCCGCACGAAAGGCGUAACGAUUUGGGCACUGUCUCAACGAGAGACUCGGUGAAAUCAUAGUACCUGUGAAGAUGCAGGUUACCCGCGACAGGACGGAAAGACCCCGUGGAGCUUUACUGUAGCCUGAUAUUGAAAUUCGGCACAGCUUGUACAGGAUAGGUAGGAGCCUUUGAAACGUGAGCGCUAGCUUACGUGGAGGCGCUGGUGGGAUACUACCCUAGCUGUGUUGGCUUUCUAACCCGCACCACUUAUCGUGGUGGGAGACAGUGUCAGGCGGGCAGUUUGACUGGGGCGGUCGCCUCCUAAAAGG
Molecule: ribosomal RNA, 2285 nt
Filed under: Staphylococcus aureus
Lineage: Bacteria; Bacillati; Bacillota; Bacilli; Caryophanales; Staphylococcaceae
Description: bacterial LSU rRNA
Rfam family: Bacterial large subunit ribosomal RNA
Source: RNAcentral